UAAGUGUGUCUCUCUGCGGCUCGUGGGACUAUACAUCCAUAAAACCGUGUGCCUGUUCUAAUGAUUAAUAAACAUGAAGGGGAGGGGAGAGAGAGUGCGUGUGCUUUUUCUAUAACUCACCAUCACUCUCCACUCUCUUUCUCUCUCCGGUUAAUUACAAACUCGUAUGGAUUUGUAUGAACGUGAGAUAUAUCGUUGGACCGUCACUGGCCAACAAAUAUAACACAACUUUCAACAACGGAUC
RNAcentral lists this unclassified non-coding RNA (244 nucleotides) under uncultured fungus. RNAcentral describes it as "sequence contains ITS1". Lineage: Eukaryota; Fungi. The record is from RNAcentral.